CAGGUGCUGCAUGGCUGUCGUCAGCUCGUGUUGUGAAAUGUUGGGUUAAGUCCCGCAACGAGCGCAACCCUUAUCCUUUGUUGCCAGCGGUUAGGCCGGGAACUCAAAGGAGACUGCCAGUGAUAAACUGGAGGAAGGUGGGGAUGACGUCAAGUCAUCAUGGCCCUUACGACCAGGGCUACACACGUGCUACAAUGGCGCAUACAAAGAGAAGCGACCUCGCGAGAGCAAGCGGACCUCAUAAAGUGCGUCGUAGUCCGGAUUGGAGUCUGCAACUCGACUCCAUGAAGUCGGAAUCGCUAGUAAUCGUGGAUCAGAAUGCCACGGUGAAUACGUUCCCGGGCCUUGUACACACCGCCCGUCACACCAUGGGAGUGGGUUGCAAAAGAAGUAGGUAGCUUAACCUUCGGGAGGGCGCUUACCACUUUGUGAUUCAUGACUGGGGUGAAGUCGUAACAAGGUAACCGUAGGGGAACCUGCGGUUGGAUCACCUCCUUACCUUAAAGAA
This 508-nucleotide ribosomal RNA is filed under the name Salmonella enterica subsp. enterica serovar Hadar. RNAcentral's name for it is "bacterial SSU rRNA". It matches the Rfam family "Bacterial small subunit ribosomal RNA", at positions 1035 to 1533 of the family's 1533-position model. Lineage: Bacteria; Pseudomonadati; Pseudomonadota; Gammaproteobacteria; Enterobacterales; Enterobacteriaceae. RNAcentral also lists the same sequence under 1 other name. The record is from RNAcentral.